RNAcentral lists this ribosomal RNA (406 nucleotides) under uncultured bacterium. RNAcentral describes it as "partial 16S ribosomal RNA". It matches the Rfam family "Bacterial small subunit ribosomal RNA", at positions 30 to 526 of the family's 1533-position model. The record is from RNAcentral.
AUUGAACGCUGGCGGCAGGCCUAACUCAUGCACGUCGAACGAGUGGCGGACGGGUGAGUAAUGUCUGGGAAACUGCCCGAUGGCGGGGGAUAACUACUGGAAACGGUAGCUAAUACCGCAUACCAUCGGAUGUGCCCAGAUGGGAUUAGCGAGUGGGUGGGGUAACGUCUACCCUAGGCGACGAUCCCUAGCUGGGCUGAGAGGAUGACCAGCCACACUGUAACUGAGACACGGGCCAGACUCCUACGGGAGGCAGCAGUGGGGAAUAUUGCACAAUGGGCGCAAGCCUGAUGCAGCCAUGCCGCGUGUAUGAAGAAGGCCUUCGGGUUGUAAAGUACUUUCAGCGAGGAGGCGUUACUCGCAGAAGAAGCACCGGCUAACUCCGUGCCAGCAGCCGCGGUAAUAC